This 490-nucleotide ribosomal RNA is filed under the name uncultured bacterium. Its description in RNAcentral is "partial 16S ribosomal RNA". It matches the Rfam family "Bacterial small subunit ribosomal RNA", at positions 30 to 507 of the family's 1533-position model. The record is from RNAcentral.
AUUGAACGCUGGCGGCAGGCCUAACACAUGCAAGUCGAACGGUAACAGGAAGCAGCUUGCUGCUUCGCUGACGAGUGGCGGACGGGUGAGUAAUGUCUGGGAAACUGCCUGAUGGAGGGGGAUAACUACUGGAAACGGUAGCUAAUACCGCAUAACGUCGCAAGACCAAAGAGGGGGACCUUAGGGCCUCUUGCCAUCGGAUGUGCCCAGAUGGGAUUAGCUAGUAGGUGGGGUAACGGCUCACCUAGGCGACGAUCCCUAGCUGGUCUGAGAGGAUGACCAGCCACACUGGAACUGAGCCACGGUCCAGACUCCUCCGGGAGGCAGCAGUGGGGAAUAUUGCACAAUGGGCGCAAGCCUGAUGCAGCCAUGCCGCGUGUAUGAAGAAGGCCUUCGGGUUGUAAAGUACUUUCAGCGGGGAGGAAGGGAGUAAAGUUAAUACCUUUGCUCAUUGACGUUACCCGCAGAAGAAGCACCGGCUAACUCCGUG